GAUUUGUUUAAAAUCGGGGUUUAAGAGGAAAAAAUUGGAAUUUAUCAGAUUUUUUAGGAUUGAAUUUAUCGGAUUUAUGGGAUUUUUUGGGGGGGGAAGAAAAAGUCAAUUUUUUUGGGGUGUAAAACGGCGUUUUCCGGGAAUUUUUGAGGGGAAAAACGGGAAUUUGGGGAAAAACGGGAAAUUAUGAUUUUUAAAAAGAGUCAGAGUCGAAAUGAAAAGAGGAAAAUUCACGAUUUUUAAAUUAAAUUUAAAAAAAACCCGUACAAAUAAAAAUUGUUUCCCGCCCCUCCCCCACCCUGGGGUUAAUUAAUUCAGGUUAAUUAAAUCAGGUUAAUUAAAUUAGGUUAAUUAAAUCCUCCCCCCGUUAAUGAGGGGUGGGGGGAGGAGCUGGGGGUCCUGGGAAAGGAGAUGGCCACGGUCACUCAGUGGUCACUCAGUGGUCUCUCAGGGGUCACUCAGGGGUCACUCAGUGCCCGGUGGUCACUCAGGGGUCACUCAGGGAUCAGAGUCCGGUGGUCACUUAGGGGUCACUCAGUGUCCGGUGGUCACUCAGUGUCCGGUGGUCACUCAGGGGUCACUCAGUGUCCGGUGCAAGUGGUCAGUGAUGAUGCCCAUGGUCACUCAGUGGUCACUCAGUGGUCAGUGGUCACUCAGUGGUCACUCAGUGGUCACUCAUUGGUCACUCAGCGGUCACUCAGUGGUCACUCAGGGGUCAGGGCCCGGUGGUCACUCAGUGGUCAGUGGUCACUCAGCAGUCACUCAGUGGUCACUCAGCGGUCACUCAGGGGUCAGAGCCCGGUGGUCACUCAGUGGUCAGUGGUCACUCAGGAGUCACUCAGGGGUCACUCAGGGGUCAGAGCCCGGUGGUCACUCAGGGGUCACUCAGAGCCCUGUGGUCACUCAGUGUCCGGUGGUCACUCAGGGAUCACUCAGGGGUCACUCAGGGAUCACUCAGGGGUCACUCAGCGGUCACUCAGGGGUCAGAGCCCGGUGGUCACUCAGUGUCUGGUGGUCACUCAGGGAUCACUCAGGGGUCACUCAGCGGUCACUCAGCGGUCACUCAGGGGUCAGAGCCCGGUGGUCACUCAGUGUCCGGUGCAGGUGGCCGAAGUCCGGCCGCUCGGCCGCCUCUCGGGCCCAGCAGUUCAACAUCAGCCGGUGCAGGGCGGGGGGGCAGCCGGGGGGGCAGGGCAGGUACUGCUGGGAACUGGGGUUACUGGGAUGGACUGGGA
Molecule: long non-coding RNA, 1235 nt
Filed under: Parus major (Great Tit)
Lineage: Eukaryota; Metazoa; Chordata; Aves; Passeriformes; Paridae
Description: lncRNA (ENSPMJG00000003142.1)
Source: RNAcentral